GCCCUGGUCCAAGAUGGCGGAUGAGGCCACGCGACGUGUUGUGUCUGAGAUCCCGGUGCUGAAGACUAACGCCGGACCCCGAGAUCUAUGUGGAGAACAACAAGAAUGCUGACAACGAUUGGUUCCGACUGGAGUCCAACAAGGAAGGGACUCGGUAGGUAGACCCUCUUGGGAGGUGUGGGGUGGGAGUCUUAUAUGAGUUAGGUAAUUUGGUAUCCUAGCGCCCACUACCAAAGCUGCCCUGUCUCAUGUUAGCUGUCUCCACUCCCACAGCUCCAGAGUUCCCCAGUUCUCAUCCUAUGAGUUUCCCAGGUUGGUGGCCUAAGCCAAGAUGUCAUUUGAGUAUUGGAAGAAUAGGCAAAUUGGGCUAAGGUUUGGUCUUUGUUACAGGUGGUUUGGAAAAUGCUGGUAUAUCCAUGACCUCCUGAAAUAUGAGUUUGACAUCGAGUUUGACGUGAGUGUGAUAGAGUGGGAAAUAUGAAGGUUAGUAGA
RNAcentral lists this small RNA (492 nucleotides) under Pongo abelii (Sumatran orangutan). RNAcentral's name for it is "processed transcript". The record is from RNAcentral. Lineage: Eukaryota; Metazoa; Chordata; Mammalia; Primates; Hominidae.